AGGACGAACGCUGGCGGCGUGCUUAACACAUGCAAGUCGAACGAGGCGCUUGCGCCUAGUGGCGAACGGGUGAGUAACACGUGAGCAACCUGCCCUUGGCUCUGGGAUAGCCUCCGGAAACGGGGAUUAAUACCGGACAUGACCUUCUCCUGCAUGGGGGAGGGUGGAAAGUUUUUUCGGCCAGGGAGGGGCUCGCGGCCUAUCAGCUUGUUGGGGGGGUAACGGCCCACCAAGGCGACGACGGGUAGCC
RNAcentral lists this ribosomal RNA (250 nucleotides) under uncultured bacterium. Its description in RNAcentral is "partial small subunit ribosomal RNA". It matches the Rfam family "Bacterial small subunit ribosomal RNA", at positions 26 to 288 of the family's 1533-position model. The record is from RNAcentral.